AUGAAAAGUUACAUCUAAUGGCAAGACAUGGUAUGCUAACGUUGUAUGCUAACGUUUUGGUCAAAAUGUAAUAUAGCUGAAUUCACCUGUAAAAAAAACUGCAUUAUUGUAAUGAAAUAAUAAAGAAUACCAGACAAACGUGUAACAAAAUAAUCAGUUUAACAGGAAAAAAGUAACAACAAACAAAAAUAACAUAAAUGCAGGCUAUCUCCUAUACUUUUAGGGAAAAAGUUAAAUCUACAACCCAAUCCCACAAUGGAGGCUUUUCCUUCCAGGUAAUCAGGUCCCCUUGAGUUCUGCAUUCAAAGCUGGCAAGCCAAUAUAUGAUUCUACUGUGAAAUGCCUCCAGAGCUCCUAAAGGGAUUACAUAGCCCACUGGCUCCUGCAAUAAGUGAAUACUGCUAAAGGUCUGUAUUUACUCUGCAAUUGCAUCCUGAUGCCUGCUCCUCCUGCACAGGGAUUUACCAGGCAAUUCAAUAACUGCACACACAGCAACCACUUUUCAUUGAUCCUGCCUCAUGAAGCUCUGUUCAAGCUCUGCGAAGGUCUCCUCAUGUUGAACCACUUAGACUUGAUUAAGCGAGUCAAAAAUGUCAUGAAGGCCUACACAUUUGCCUGUAUAUUUCUCUAAGCUCUUUGUUACCAUGGUAACCCUGUCUCUUGCCCUGUUCUCUCAGGCUGAGAGCACCGAGUUAAAGUACACUACAAAGGAAGGGGACAGCAGGAUCAGACGCUUGUCCCAUGGCCUUCAUGUCAGCUAAAUGAUGAUCAAAAGAAAAACACAGCAAUUUACUGGAUUUCAAGCUCAACUUUUACCAGCAAGGUAAAUGAACAGAUGAUCAGACAGACAAAGCAGUGGAUUACAGCAGACAUACUGCGAUGCUAUUGAUAUCAGGAAAAAAAAAAAAAACCUUCAUUGUGUUAGGCUGCUGUGAAAUUGAAAUGUAGUGUACGUAAAAUACACUAAACUUCAAAGUACUAAAAGCUUGCACAAAGAAAAAGAUCAAAAGAUAAAAAAGACUUGGGUUUAUCAUAAAUACCUCUCCAAACAAGCUCUGUUUUAAAGAGUACUAGUUGCAUACAGGAACAACUGCGGUAGACUGCCGGUUCUUGCAGAGGGCAAAGAGAGGGUAGAGCUCCACCUCAUAGAUCUUGCAGGUUAGACCUGUCCACUUCGAGUAGAAUAUCAUGUAGUGGAUAUCCUGGGAUCGUUGUCUCUUUCAGAAGAUUAAUGGCUGCCUCCUGUCUCCAUUCUUUUUUUUUAUGUAACUGGUAGAUGUGAGCAUGUGCCUUGUCUGGAGAGCUGACUAUUUCCUAGUAAACUCUUAGAAAAAAGGGUUGUAUGUUCAAGAGUUUCCUCUUGGGGAAUCCUUAAAGGCUGUUUGUACUGUAGAAUCCUAUAAUAAAGUGUUUUCCUAUCAGAAAGAUCAGAAGUAAAACUUCUUUUGGAAGCUAAGAAUAUUUAAAGUGAAAGAAAACUUAAAAACCGCUUUAAGUUGCCUGGCCUGUGGGAAAAUGCAAAUCCUUGGCUUUAUUUAGAGAAGAGUACAGUGUGUCAAAAUGUCUAGUUUGAGAUCAUUUUUAUGCCGGGUCAUGUGCAGCACCAUGUUGCCACUUGUCCGUAGUCACCAAGUUAGCAAUCUAACUAGCAG
Long non-coding RNA from Pangasianodon hypophthalmus (striped catfish), 1652 nucleotides. RefSeq lists it as uncharacterized. The transcript has 5 exons. The record is from RefSeq and is a predicted model, not a curated record. NCBI's taxonomy places the organism in Eukaryota, Metazoa, Chordata, Actinopteri, Siluriformes, Pangasiidae.